Cygnus olor (mute swan) is the source of this 2407-nucleotide long non-coding RNA. RefSeq lists it as uncharacterized. The record is from RefSeq and is a predicted model, not a curated record. Lineage: Eukaryota; Metazoa; Chordata; Aves; Anseriformes; Anatidae. The transcript is spliced from 6 exons.
UAUUGGCCAGACCCUACAUUUUCUCACCAAAAGGCACAUUUCAAAAGGUUUCCUAAAAUAACAAUAACUUCAAUUAAUGAUGAAAAUCAUAGAAAAGGGGAGAGUUUCAAAGCAUGUGAGGUGGAAAAAAGUUUGAUUUUUUUUUUCCAGGUGGAUUUGUUUCCAUUUCCAAUCAACUUUUGAUCAUCGAGCAAUGGUGUUGUCUUGAGAGAAGAGAAAGCUCACGCCACCUGCAGCAUGGUUUGGGUUUUCAGCUGGUGCAGGACAGCCCAUCUCCGCAAGAACUUGUGCCAGGUUGCAUGGAGGGGAGGUUGAGCCCUGUGCAUUUGUGUGGUGUCUUCUCCCCCAUGUUUCCUGCUAAAACCAGAAGCAUCGCUCCUGUCUGGACCAACGGGCUGUGGCUGAAUGGUGCUUGGUAGAAAGCCCUGUGGAGAUGGAGCGAAGAUCAUAAGCAGAUGACAAAUGAAUGUUGAAAGGCAGAGCAAUGGAGAGAUAUUGCUGAAGAGUCUUGCCUUUUUUUCCUGAUGAUCCUCCAAACCUCCUGUGAAGUUCUCUGGGGUGCCAGCGGUGGCUGGCAGUGGGAUUCAUGGUCAACCAAGGCUGUGAUGUCUGGCUGUAAGCUUGCACCUGGAUUACAAGGUAUCUCCCCUCCCAGAAGUGCAGGCAGCCAAUGCACGGUCUCGGCACCAGCAGUCCCUUGUUCUGCAUCGAAGUUUUCCUUGUAACAAACUGCAAAGGGUCACAUGCAGAUGGAAAAGCCUCAUCACACCUUAAAGGAAGCAACAAGCAGCUUGGCCAAGGUCAAAGAACACAACCUUCUUCAAACCUAGAGUCCUGAGCCUCAAACCCAAGUGCAUCUCACUGCCUCCCAGGUUACAAAUGGAGAGCCCAUGUAUCCAGCUGAAAAAUGCAGUGUUUUCUGGAGUGCAGCGAGGCAGCUGGUUGCCCAUGUACCCCACAGAGCAGAGAGCACCAGUAAAUAGCCUGCAAGCCUCACUGGAGGGAUGGCUGCAGCCCAUAGCAAAACAGCCCCGUGUCUGCUAGCAGCCUGAACGUGCUCAGUAGCCUGCAAUGAAACCUGGGCUUGCAGAGCCCAACUCCUCCAGAAGCCAAAGUUCAACGUAAUGGAAAACUUUGCUAAGGUGUGCUGACAAAGGAAUCCUGUCCCCGCACCUUGGCUGUGCCUCAGGAGGCACUGAAGUCCAAUGGGCAGUGGCACGGUCUCUCACACAAAGCAGCAAGGGGGCUGGAGAGCUCCUUUUACAGCCCAAACGGAUGUUUCCCCAGGCUCAUAAAAUACACAGUUUAAGUAGUAGCUAUAUUUCUGAGGCUGGUCCCACACCUGCAACAACGUUGUAAAUGGCGCUGGGAUAUAUGGCUUUAAGACUCCUUGUAAAACGCAAGAUCAACACAAGAUUUACACAGUUUUAUGGAAUUGUUUUAUAAGCUAUUUUGACAAUGAAUCCUGCUAUCAAAAUCACCUCUGGUGCUAAUCAUGGAGGAAGCAUUUAGCAGGAACCAACAAAGAUUAGUUUAAACCCCUUUCCUACCGAGCCGUGGGCUGUGCAGUGCAUCUCCCAAAGCCUGGGGCAUGGCUCACACAGCAGCACGUGUGGGGCAGUGGGACCGGGCUUCAAACCUGGGGGUGGACACAUUUUUGGGUGCCUCUCCGUGCUCUGGUGGGGACGAGGACUGAACAAGGACUGCAGGAGGUGAAGCCAGAGCUCUCCUGCCUCCUGUCCUCCCAAGACAGAGAUGGAGCUGGACCUCCAGCAGGUCCUAACAGCCCAAGGGGACACAGCUGGGGCAUGGCAAACCAGUGGUGGGACCUGAGCACUGCAUCCCCCAGCACCCAACCCUCCGUGGUCCUUCUUGCCCAUGACUGGGUCACACAGGAGAGGAAGGACUGCAGUGAGAGGAUGAACCCUCCUGAAAGCCCGAAUCAGCACUGUUGCCUUGCAUUGCCACAGACUGCCCCACGCCAAGUGCUGGACACGCUGAGGGGACGUUUGUGGGUCAGGCUGGCCAGAUGUCCCUGGCAAGGAAGCCACGGGCAGUGAGGCUUUCAUUACAUGCUGCCACAAGCCGCAGAGCAACCAGAGCCUCACCACUCGCAGCCGAGGGGUUAGCUCAUCUCCUGGCUCCUCUGGGCAGCCCUCGGCUUCCUUCUUCUGAGAAACCAGGAGGAAGGCUCCAGAGGAAUCGCCUCCUCCUCCUCCUGCUUGAACAUGGCUCCCGAAGGUUCACCUGGUGGCUCUGAGUCCUGAGCACGAGGACGGUGAGCAGCUGCUCCCUUUCUGGCUUCUCCCAGCGUCUCAGGAUUUUGCAGACUUUUGCCGUCCCUCACUGAGCUGUUUCUUUCCUACAUACAUAGAAGUCCCAGCUAAAUAAACAGGAACAUAAUGUG